RNAcentral lists this long non-coding RNA (864 nucleotides) under Cricetulus griseus (Chinese hamster). Its description in RNAcentral is "lncRNA (ENSCGRG00015040187.1)". Lineage: Eukaryota; Metazoa; Chordata; Mammalia; Rodentia; Cricetidae. The record is from RNAcentral.
CUCUUUUCUUCUUUUUAAACAAAACAAUAACAUUUUGGCGCCCGACUUGGUUUAGGCUCUCUCUGUAGACCCUCUCCCAAAGCUAACUGGUGGGAUAGUUUUUCUUUCUUUGUAACUUUUCCUGCCAGGAGCACAGGAAAUCUCGGAGAUCCUAAAAUCUGGACUCAUAGCCCACUUCCAUCUCCGCUUUUCCUGGUACUCCCUCCUGCCUGCAACAGCCUGAGAUGCCGGAACUCAACUUGCCGCUUUUCCAACUAAGUAUUUCUGGAACUCACUGAUCUGCCUAUUCGCUACAAUCCGGUCUAAGAGGCGCCAGGGAGUUCCAUACAGCCUGGACUACAAUGAAACAACCAGCUACCCCAGGAUGUGGUAGCACCCCAACCUUCUCGGGUCCCCCAAAGAUGGUCAACGCCCCCCACGUCAGCAGGAAGCAGUCUUAAGAAUUCGACGCCCUUAUUCCUUAACCUGCCAUGUCUAAACACCCCACCUUUUUUUAAUAAUAAGUAGAGGUGGGAAUGAAAGGUUCAGGCAUUAUGCUGGCCUGCCCCUGUUACCUGGUGGAAUCCACUCAGGCAAUACCCUGGUCAGCCCAAGGUUCCAUGGGAAAGAAGUCUGCACGCAGGUGCAGAGGACCCCUUUAAAAGAUAGGCCCCUGCACCUUUACUCUCUCUCUCUCUCUCUCUCUCUCUCUCUCUCUCUCUCUCUCUCUCUCCCUCUCUCCCUCUCUCUCUCUCCCGUCUCUCUCUCUCUCUCUGUGUGCUCUCUGUUUCCCCCGCUCUGUCUCUCUAUGGCGACCGGCCAUGGCGGUCAGCCAUUACCCUGUUCCUCUUCUUAGUCUACCCAUUCUACCGGGCCUUAUAAUAA